This is a long non-coding RNA of Oreochromis niloticus (Nile tilapia), 1764 nucleotides long. RefSeq lists it as uncharacterized. Lineage: Eukaryota; Metazoa; Chordata; Actinopteri; Cichliformes; Cichlidae. The record is from RefSeq and is a predicted model, not a curated record. The transcript has 4 exons.
AACACUGACCAAGACAAGGAGCUGGGUUACAUUAGCUGCUAAAAAUCAAAUAACUAGUAAAGACUGAAGCUCAGACACUUCCAGACAAGUGUGUGAUUGCCAGCACGUGUGGAGAACCAGAAGAAUCAGCAACUAACCUGACAUGCAUGUCUGUGGACUGUGGGAGGAAGCUGGAGUACCAAAGGACGAAGAAAGACAGGGAGAACAUGUAAAAUGUGAAACAGUUGGUCCAGGAGUAGCUGUCCUAAGAGUUCUAAGGAAAAGACAAGAUAACGAUGGAGCAAGAGGUGAGGAAGGUAGCCAUAUGGCGGGUAUUUAUCAGCCGAUGGCUGCCAGAGUGAUUAAAUGUGAGCUGAAGGUGAAGCUGCAGACGGCUGAGAGAGAGAGAGCAGGGCCUGAUGCCUGGGGUCUGGUACCAGGUUGUUCAUCAUCUCCCUUAAAGGAAGGUCAACAGUCCAAUGAAUCACACUCACCACCAAACUUACAGCUUGUUCCCUGUUAGCUUUACUGCAUUUUCCUCCAGUUCUCAAUGUUUAGCUGGAAUCUAAUCCACUCCCUGUGUCCUUGCGUGAGCAUCUUUACAAGAGAUUUGAAGCAUCCAAGACACCAAAGUCUCUUAAUUCCAAUAAUCUUUCAUAUUUUUCCUAGAUGUGACCAGAAAGGACUGCUGACGUCAGUAAAGCUAUAUGUCAGCAGUAGUGAGCUGGUGGUAUGACAGACACAUAAUGGGAUGGACAGUAACCAGAAUUAAAUCAGAAGUAUGAAGCCUGUUCCAAGAUUUGUCCUGAUGUCAGCAGCAGCUGACGCAACAAUAUAACAGUUUACAGCAUGCAUGCGCUAGAAAGACAGUAGAACACUUCUGUGUGUAUGUUAAGAGGGUCACAGUGUUUCUUAGCUGCACUGUGGGACAUUUUUAAAGAGCGUAGACUUUUUAUACAUUUAUUCAACUGAGAAGAGAGGGAUUUGGCCUAGAAUAGUGCAGACUAUGCAAAAUUUGACAAGAGAACUCAUGUUUGAAGAAAAGUAAUCCCCCUUCAUGUAAAAAUAAGGAGAAAAACAUUCUACAUGGAUGUUUUUUAGACCAUGGUACACUCGGGUAUUAAAAAUUGGUUGAAUAUAUGAAAUAUACAAGUUUUGAGGUAUCCUUAAUUUCUUUAUAUUUUGCUGGGAAAAUGAGGACCUGGUGCAGAAAUGUAUUCAAACAUGUCUAAACAUACAUGGAUAUACAGUAUAGAAGGCAAAAGGCUUCAAAGUCAAUAUCUGGCACGACCAUCAUUGAACUUGAACUCUCUUUCAAGCUUUCUUGAAAUUUCUUUAAUGAGUUUUCAGGAAUAGUUUCUUGAUGUACAUUGAAAGCUCUUCUUUGGAUGUUGGCUGGUUUUUGUUCUGUUCUCUGUCAAGAUGAUCCUGUUGUGCCUCUCUCCUGACCACCGUACAGCAUAUACCAAUGACAACCAAUAAUUUCAAUUUGGAUUCAUAUCAGACCUCAGUAGCAGACUUCAAUAAGGUCUGCUGCCACUGAUUUUAGGUCCAAUUCUUGUGUAAUUUGGCAUAACUCAACCUUUUCUCCCCGUUUCCCUUCCUUAUGAUGGUUUCUUGACAGCCAUCCUUCUUUUCUGAUGAGGCUUGAGUAAACAAUGCAUUGAGGGCCAGAUACAGCUCUCAGGUCCUGUGUCAGGUGUUUACUAGAUUUAAAUAGAUUUAUUUAUUUCAGAUACAGCUCGUCUGCUGUAGAUAGUUUUUAAGCCGGCAACUUUUUUUCCU